Molecule: long non-coding RNA, 238 nt
Organism: Sinocyclocheilus anshuiensis
Lineage: Eukaryota; Metazoa; Chordata; Actinopteri; Cypriniformes; Cyprinidae
Exons: 3
Source: RefSeq, a predicted model, not a curated record
CGAUGGCAAUCGCAAACAUUAUCGCUUUAGAAAAUCAAGGGGGACUGAGGAACCCUCUCUAUAUGCGGGGUUAUUUCUUGCCCAGGAUGAGGAGGUAUCGGCCUUCCUGAACAACAUCAGAGGCAGCAGCAUGACAAGAGCAAAUGACAGUGGGAUGUGCGGCGUCUCAAGGUUCAGGGCAAGUAAGGAGACAUCAAAAAAAUCAUCCUCCAAAAUAGAUGAAGAGGGGAUUCAAGUG